AGGCUCGUCAAUCGAAAUGAGUACAAUUUAAAUCCUUUAACGAGUACCAAUUGGAGGGCAAGUCUGGUGCCAGCAGCCGCGGUAAUUCCAGCUCCAAUAGCGAAUAUUAAAUUUGUUGCAGUUAAAAAGCUCGUAGUUGGAUCCAAGGUUAGGCAUGCCUGUCUGUUCUUAGUAGCAUGACUGUGUGUGUCUGCCUUUAUUAGUUGAAUGUUCAUUAUGGUGGUCUUCACCGACUGCUAUGAUGUGCUCAACACGUUUACCUUGAAAAAAUCAGAGCGAUCAAGGCAGGCCUUCGUGCUUGUAUGUUGUUGCAAGGAAUAAUAGAAUAGGACUUCGGUUCUAUUUUGUUGGUUUUGAGAAUUGAAGUAAUGAACAAUAGAGACAGUCGGGGGCAUUUGUAUGGUGGCGUUAGAGGUGAAAUUCUGAGAUCGUCGCCAGACAAACUACUGCGAAAGCAUUUGCCAAGGAUGUCUUCAUUAAUCAAGAACGAAAGUCAGAGGUUCGAAGACGAUCAGAUACCGUCCUAGUUCUGACCAUAAACGAUGCCGACCUACAAUCGGGGGUGGUUUAUUAUAUUGACCCCCCCGGCUGUCCUCAGGAAACUUUAAGUUGGUUCUGGGGGGAAUAUGGUCUCAAGACUGAAACUUAAAGGAAUUGACGGAAGGGCACCACCAGGAGUGGAGCCUGCGGCUUAAUUUGACCCAACACGGGGAAUCUCACCCGGUCCGGACACUGGUAGGAUGGACAGAUUGAUAGCUCUUUCUUGAUUCAGUGGGUGGUGGUGCAUGGCCGUUCUUAGUUGGUGGAGUGAUUUGUCUGGUUAAUUCCGAUAACGAACGAGACUCUGUCCUGCUAAAUAGUCCAGUGGCAUCAAUCACUAUGUGAUUACAGCUGCUGUUACUUCUUAGAGGGAUUCGCGGAUUUAAACCGCAAGAAAUAGAGCAAUAACAGGUCUGUGAUGCCCUUAGAUGUCCGGGGCCGCACGCGCGCUACAUUGACAGUAGAAGCGAGUAUUUCUACCUGGUUCGAAAGAAUUGGGAAAUCUUCGAAUUACUGUCUCCACAGGGAUUGAGGUUUGCAAUUUUGCCUCAUGAACGAGGAAUUCCCAGUAGGCGCAAGUCAUCAGCUUGCGUCGAUUACGUCCCUGCCCUUUGUACACACCGCCCGUCGCUACUACCGAUUGAGUGCAUUAGUGAGGACCUCGGAUUGAGAACAUAGUGGCGCAAGUUACUUUGUUUUCGAAAAGUGGUUCAAAUUUGUGCAUUUAGAGAUAGUAAAAGUCGU
RNAcentral lists this ribosomal RNA (1284 nucleotides) under metagenome. RNAcentral describes it as "SSU rRNA". It matches the Rfam family "Eukaryotic small subunit ribosomal RNA", at positions 498 to 1792 of the family's 1831-position model. The record is from RNAcentral.